Long non-coding RNA from Homo sapiens (human), 411 nucleotides. Ensembl annotates it as PMS1 homolog 2, mismatch repair system component pseudogene 4. Its record names the gene PMS2P4. Lineage: Eukaryota; Metazoa; Chordata; Mammalia; Primates; Hominidae. The record is from Ensembl.
GUGGAGGGAACUUUCCCAGGCCCCGAGGCGGAUCGGGUAUUGAGUCCAUGGAGCGAGCUGAGAGCUAGAGUACAGAACCUGCUAAGGCCAUCAAACCUAUCGAUCGGAACGAUGUCACCAUUUCUACCUGCCACGCAUCGGCGAAGGUUGGGACUCGACUGGUGUUUGAUCACGAUGGGAAAAUCAUCCAGAAAACCCCCUACCCCCACCCCAGAGGGACCACAGUCAGCGUGAAGCAGUUAUUUUCUACACUACCUGUGCACCAUAAGGAAUUUCAAAGGAAUAUUAAGAAGACGUGCCUGUUUCCCCUUCGCCUUCUGCCGUGAUUGUCAGUUUCCUGAGGCCUCCCCAGCCAUGCUUCCUGUACAGCCUGCAGAACUGUGAGUCAAUUAAACCUCUUUUCUUCAUAAA